Molecule: ribosomal RNA, 441 nt
Filed under: uncultured prokaryote
Description: bacterial SSU rRNA
Rfam family: Bacterial small subunit ribosomal RNA
Source: RNAcentral
UCGAGAAUCUUCGGCAAUGGGCGCAAGCCUGACCGAGCGACGCCGCGUGUGGGAUGAAGGCCUUCGGGUUGUAAACCGCUGUCGGAGGGGAGGAAAUGCUAGGUAACCCCUAGUUUGACCUAUCCUCGGAGGAAGUCCGGGCUAAGUUCGUGCCAGCAGCCGCGGUAAGACGAACCGGACAAACGUUAUUCGGAAUCAUUGGGCUUAAAGGGUGCGUAGGCGGCGUGGCAAGUUGGAUGUGAAAUCCCUCGGCUCAACCGAGGAACUGCGUCCAAAACUGCCAUGCUUGAGGGAGACAGAGGUGAGCGGAACUUAGGGUGGAGCGGUGAAAUGCGUUGAUAUCCUGAGGAACACCAGUGGCGAAAGCGGCUCACUGGGUCUCUUCUGACGCUGAGGCACGAAAGCUAGGGGAGCGAACGGGAUUAGAUACCCCCGUAGUCC